AAUGAAUUUGUAAGAAACAAUUAAUACUGCAAUACUAAUGGCAUCAAUGGGAGAGUUGAAACGACUGAAUGGUAACAGCCUAAACAGUUUCUAAGAUCCUAUCAUUUUUCCAUCAAUUUACUUUUCUGAAUUUUCACAAAUGGAUACAAGGCUUAAUGUAAAUACAUCUAAUAAUACACAGCAAUUACAGAAUUUUUAAAAAAGAUUUGCCUCUCCAAAAUACUGAAGACAAACAAACAAGCACUAUUUUUUCAAGACAUUAAGCCUCAUACAAGAUGCUACACCAAAAUACAUGGUGAUUACUUAAUGAACCUCUCCUUUUUCCCAGAAAUUCAAAGAUUCUUCAGUGAUCUAAGAACAGCUUAACACAGAAAACUACAGGAUACAUAUGGUACAGCCAAGUCUCAAAGCUACCAGUACUAAUGAGCAAUUAAUCAUGCAUGCUGAAUAAGAACAAAUGCAGUUACAAAACCUA
Sceloporus undulatus (fence lizard) is the source of this 475-nucleotide long non-coding RNA. RefSeq lists it as uncharacterized. The transcript has 3 exons. The record is from RefSeq and is a predicted model, not a curated record. Lineage: Eukaryota; Metazoa; Chordata; Lepidosauria; Squamata; Phrynosomatidae.